CGAAAUUUUAUGACGAGUGUGACUUUGCACUGAGAGUUGUAAAAAACCAGUUAAACAGAAAACUGAUCUCAUAUUGAGUUGUUUGUAUUUUUAUUGAAGUACAAACUUAAAGUUUUAGUAAAUUGAAUCAUCUAAGUAACUAAAAAAUAAAAUCAACCGAGAAUUUGUUAGUAGUGGCGAGCGAAAACGAAAUUUUAAAGACUUAAAAAAUAAUUUGAAUAUUUUUUAAAAUAUAUAAAUCAUUUAUUUAAUUUUAGCCGUAGAAGGUGUGCUUUGUGAAAAGUAUUAGCCCUGUAAAAUAAAUGAAAAAUUAUUUUAAUUUAGUAAUUUGUACCAAGUGAUGGUAAAAAUGAAAAUUGGGGGACCACCCUCAAGUCUAAAAACGUUUGAUGAUUGAUAGUGGACAAGUACUGUGAAGGAAAGGUGAAACAAAAGUUUAACAGAAUAAACAUUAAUUUAAAUUGAAAUUUAAUGCAAACAAUCAAUUGAAGCUUUAAAAAGUAACAGUGUACCUUUUGCAUAAUGGGCCAAUGAAUUUAUUUUGGUGGCGAGCUUAAAUUAAAAUAUGUAGGCGAAAAGAAAUUAAGUUUUAAAAAUGCUUUUAAGUCUCUGAAAUAAGACCCGAAACUAAGUGAUCUAACCAUGAACAGGUUGAAUUUAUUAGCGGUAACGCUUAUUGGAGGACCGAACCCGUGUAUGUAGAAAAAUACUGGGAUGAUUUGUGGUUAGGGGUGAAAGGCCAAUCAAACUUAGAGAUAGCUGGUUUUCUGCGAAAUCUAUUUAAGUAGAGCGUUUAAAAACUUUAAUAUAUGGUAGAGCACUCAAUAAAUAAUGGGAACGUAAAGUUUUACUGAAUUUAAUGAAACUCCGAAUGUAAAUUAAAAGAUUUUAGACAGACAGACUUUGGGUGCUAAGGUCCAAAGUCAAGAGGGAAACAGCCCAGACUAUUCGUUAAGGUCCUAAAAAAUAAUUAAGUGAAAAAUUUGUAUUAAAUUUUAAACAAUCGGUAGGUAGGCUUGGAAGCAGCCACCCUUUAAAGAAAGCGUAACAGCUCACUGAUUUAGAUUUUUUGCAAUAAAAAUGUAUAAGGACUAAAAUUAUUUACCGAAACGAUAGAUUUAAUUUUUUAAUUAAAUGGUAGCAGAACGUUCUGUAAUUUAAUGAAUUAUUAUAGUGAUAUAAUAGUAAAAAAUCAGAAGUGAAAAUAUUGGCAUGAGUAGCGAUAAACAAUGUAAAAACAUUGUCGUCUUAAGUCUAAGGUUUCCAAAGAAAGGCUAAACCGCUUUGGGUUAUUCGGUCCCUAAGAAAAAAACGAAAGUUUUUUUUAAUGGGUGUAUUAUUUAAAAUUUAAUAAUUGUGACAAAAUGUGAAAUAAAUUAUUAUUUUAUGGUAUUGAAUAGUAGUUUAUUAGUAUUUUCAAGAAAUAGCAAUUUAUAUAAUCAAAACCGUACAGUAAACCGACACAGGUAGACAAAUUUAGUAAAUUAAGACGCUUGAAAUAAUUAUGUUGAAGGAACUCGGCAAAAUGACUCUGUAACUUCGGGAUAAGGAGUAGCUUUUAUUAAGAGAAAUCUUUAAAAGCUGUCACAAAAUCGAGGACAGCGACUGGUUAAUAAAACCACAGGUCUCUGCAAAAUUGUAAAAUGAUGUAUAGAGACUGACGCCUGCCCGGUGCUGCAAGUAUAAUAGAAAAAGUUUAGGCUUUGACUAAAAAUCCCAGUAAACGGCGGCUGUAACUCUGACGGUCCAAAGGUAGCGAAAUUCCUUGGCAUUUAAUUGGUGUCCUGCAUGAAUGGCGUAACGACUGUCCUACUGUCUCCAACAUAAUUUCAGUGAAAUUGAAUUCUCCGUGAAGAUGCGGAGUUCUUGCGGCUAGACGGAAAGACCCCGUGCACCUUUACUAUAGUUAUGUAUUGUAAUAAAAAAUUUUAUGUGUAGAAUAAAUGGGAAAUUAUAAGCAUGCGUUUACAGAUAGUAAAAAGCAAAAAUACCAGUGAAAUACCAUUCUUAAAAUUUUUUAUUACUCAUUUUUUAAAACAUUGCAUAAUGGGUAGUUUGACUGGGGCGGUCGCCUCCUAAAAAGUAACGGAGGUGUACUUAAGGUAAGUUCAG
This 2112-nucleotide ribosomal RNA is filed under the name Chaetoceros affinis. RNAcentral describes it as "partial Bacterial large subunit ribosomal RNA". It matches the Rfam family "Bacterial large subunit ribosomal RNA", at positions 69 to 2325 of the family's 2925-position model. Lineage: Eukaryota; Bacillariophyta; Thalassiosirophyceae; Chaetocerotales; Chaetocerotaceae. The record is from RNAcentral.